This is a long non-coding RNA of Etheostoma spectabile (orangethroat darter), 2144 nucleotides long. RefSeq lists it as uncharacterized. NCBI's taxonomy places the organism in Eukaryota, Metazoa, Chordata, Actinopteri, Perciformes, Percidae. The record is from RefSeq and is a predicted model, not a curated record. The transcript is spliced from 3 exons.
AAGCACAUAUACGUCUCCACGAUGUAUUGGCGAUGUAAUCAAAAUACGGCGGGGAUACGUAGUAGUUUGGUCGUCUGCUCACUGGCAAGACGUCCCCGAGACGUCGCUGCUAUACGUUUCUGCGACGUGCAGCCGCUCUUUCCACAACGUAUAUAUAUUUACAUCGUUCUAACGUAUGCCAUACAUCGUACAGAUGCAGGCUCAUAUACAUCGUUCUUACGUAUAUAAUACGUCGUAGAGAUGCGGGCUCAUAUACAUCGUUCUAACGUAUAUAAUACGUCGUAGAGAUGCGGGCUCAUAUACAUCGUUCUAACGUAUAUAAUACGUCGUAGAGAUGCGGGCUCAUAUACAUCGUUCUAACGUAUAUAAUACGUCGUAGAGAUGCGGGCUCAUAUACAUCGUUCUUACGUAUAUAAUACAUCGUAGAGAUGCGGGCUCAUAUACAUCGUUCUAACGUAUAUAAUACGUCGUAGAGAUGCGGGCUCAUAUACAUCGUUCUAACGUAUAUAAUACGUCGUAGAGAUGCGGGCUCAUAUACAUCGUUCUAACGUAUAUUAUACAUAGUCCCAACAACCGCUUUACAUUUUACAAUCUCAGGCACAUCUUCCUGACAUAUGUUGUACGUAGUACAGAUGUCAGGAAGAUGUGCCAAUCAGUUGAUCCUGCAUUAACCCAUUUAACACAACUGAUCAGUAUAGGUCACACAAAAUUACUUUAAAUGUCUUUACCAAAUUACAUGAAUUGCUAAAGUAAGAGAUAAGUCAUACACAAUUACUUACAAUACAUUUUAGUCAUGAAGCACUUUUAAGGGUACUCAGACAAUUACAUAGUUCAAAUUAUUAUAGAAAAUAGCUGACUUUAGCACAUUAAAAGCUAUUCUGAGAAUACAAAAAAUUAUCAUGUAGCUAUAUUUUGAGAUAAUUAUCCUACUUUUGUCUAUACCGGGGGUCGGCAACCCACGGCUCUAGAGCCGCAUGCGGCUCUUUAGCACCGCCCUAGUGGCUCCCUGAAGCUUUUUCAAAAAUGUUUGAAAAUGGAAAAACAUGGGGGGGGGAAAUAUAUUUUUUAUUUUAAUAUGGUUUCUGUAGGAAAACAAACAUGACACAAACAUUAUUAACGUUUUUCAAUGUUGUAAAAAUGUGUAGAAUAAAUAUUAAAUUUCAACUCUUCUGUCAGCGAAGAUUUACGUCAGAGCCUGCGACACACGUUUCUAUCAGUACGGCGGGAUGCAGGGCCGGGGGCUGGUGUAAACAAACCGGCGGCUGUGACCCGACACACCUGUGCGAGCAGAUAUUCUCGAACUACAUCAAAUCAAAAUAUCGCACCCGCCUCACAGAUGAGAGCUUGCAGUCCUGCGUCAAGAUUGAAGUUAAAUCUUACAUGCCCGAUGACGUCCGAAAACAGAAGUCACAUUAAACGGCAUCCUGAACUCUCUGCGUCCUUACCGCCGGUGUCCCAUAACAGACCGUCCAGCUCCUCCGACCCCCCUUGCUGGCUGUGAGAUGUCUCUGCUGCCAGACGGUACGACAAGUUCCUCAGGAUGCACACACAGUUCUCUACGGUCCGAUUGUAAAGAAAAAAGACAGAGGGAGAGAGAUGUGGAGAGAGAAAAAGAGAUGGACAUGAUGGGGGGGACAGAUGGCAUUAGGCAAAGAGACACACUCAAAAUCGUACUGUAGACACAGAUAAACAAACUGCGCAGUGCUGCUGGUAUAAUAUCAAAAAUAUAGACAUGGACACACGUGCAGUGUUCAACUUGUGCUACACGUUUCCCACAUCCAGGAGUGUGAAAGUGAAAUGCUCUCACACACUAUGUCAGGCAUCCCCCGCUCUGAUCCUGUUGUCUGUUUGUUUGUUGUCUCGGUCUGUGCAUCAUGGUUCCUGUUGCCAUGCAACCUGGGGAGGUGUGGCCUCCUUCACUCAUCACCUGUUCCUGCUCAGCCUAAUCACCAGCACCCACCUGUGUCUCAUCAUCAUCACCACCAGCUCUUAUACCGUGACCUGACAUCCAGUCCCUGUCGGAUCGUUAGUCUUCUCAUUAUCCUGCUACGGACCGUCAACACUCUUCACCCCCGGAUUGUCUUCACUCACCUGCCGUCACAGCAUUUCCCUCUGUUUCACCUUGGUUGGUCAUCUGGUGCUUG